This 1547-nucleotide ribosomal RNA is filed under the name Burkholderia mallei 2002721280. RNAcentral describes it as "16S ribosomal RNA". The record is from RNAcentral. Lineage: Bacteria; Pseudomonadati; Pseudomonadota; Betaproteobacteria; Burkholderiales; Burkholderiaceae.
GGCGAUGCGCUGCCGGUGAUGGGCGACGAGGCGGGCCUGCACCUCGUGAUCGGAUUGCCGAACGGCUGCGACGACCGGGCGAUCACGCAGACCGCGUUCGACGCGGGGGUGAUCGUGCGCCCGCUCACGACGUACUACAACCAUGCGGAUACCGCGCGCGAGGGAUUGCUGCUCGGCUACGCAUGCGUGCCGAACGAGCGCAUCGCGCCCGCGUUCGAUACGCUCGCGCAGAUAAUCGAAGCGCAUCUGAAUCGGCGUGCGAAGCAACGGGCCGCGUGAUGCAUGCAAUUCGCGCGAUGCGCGCGGCGUUCGACACGCCUGCUCGUUACGCCGACGCGCCGCGCACGCACGCCUGCCGCGCGCAUCGGACAUGCGCUCCGCUAUUGCGUCUGCGUCGCCGCGCCGCCGCGAUCGAGCGACGCCGCGCGCAGCGCCUCGCCCGGCUGCGUGAAAUAGCGCUGCCGCAGUUGCGCGAUCUGCGUGUCGCGAUCCUGCGGCGAGAGGUGCUGCGCAUCGAUCUGCGCGCGCUGCGCCGCAUAUUCGUCGUAUUUCGCGCGCCACGCGUCGUUCGCCUGCUGCAUCUUCGCGACGCGCUCCGCCGCCUCCGGCCCCAGCGAUUGCGCGAGCUGCGCGCGCAUUUCGUCGGGCGACGCACCGGACUUCUGCAAUUGCGCGAUCCGCGCGACGGCGUCGUUCUGCUGCUUCUCGCGCGCCUGCUCGGCGCGCUGGUCGAGCGGCAGUUGCUGCUCGAGCGCCGCGAGACGCGCGGCCUUCUGCGCAUCCGUCAACGAAGCGUCGCGCACGAUUCUCAACCGCGCGAGAUCGUAGCGCUGCCGCUGCUGCUCGGCGCCGAAAAACGGCUCGGCCCAAUCGCCGAGCGCGCGGCUCGCGAUCGAUGCGCGCUGAUCGAGCGCGAGCUGCAGCGCCGCGAGAUCGAGCUUGUUGCCGGGCGCGCCGCCGUCCGGCAACUGCGCGAGCUGAUCGAGAUACGCACGAUAGCGUUUCCAGACGUCGAGCGCCUCGCCCUGUGCGAGCGUGCCGUCGAGCUGCGCGGCGAUCUCGCGCGUGACGAGCGCAUCGAGCGCCUGCGCGCUCAGCUCGCUCUGCGCACUCAGGCAAUAGUCGAAGAAAUCGCGCACCGCGCGCGCCUUCGCGAGAUGGCCGUGCGCGUCGAGCGGCAGCCGCGGCGCCGACGAACCGGCCAGCGACGCGGGCAGGCCGCUCGCCGCGGAGCCGGCAUCGGCGCGCGCCGCGACGGCGACAGGCGCCGACGCGGCGAGCUCGGGCGAUGCGGGAGACGCGCCCGCAUCGCGCUUCGCCGGCGCGCCGACGACAUACCACACCGCGCCGGCCGCGACAGCGCCGGCCACACAGUAAAGCGCGACGCGCCGCGCAACGCUGCCUUCUCCCUUCAUCGAUCACACACCCUGCGUCUUCAACCGGUUCGCAUGCGUGCGGAUCACCGCGACCGGAUCCUCCGCGUACGCGCCGCGCACGCCGAGCAACUGGUUGAUCUCGUCGAGGUGGUCCACUUGUAGCUCGUGCCG